GACGAACGCUGGCGGCGUGCUUAACACAUGCAAGUCGAGCGGUAAGGCCCUUUCGGGGGUACACGAGCGGCGAACGGGUGAGUAACACGUGGGUGACCUGCCCUCAGCUCUGGGAUAAGCCUGGGAAACUGGGUCUAAUACUGGAUAUGACUCCACGGUGCAUGUCGUGGGGUGGAAAGCCUUGUGCGGCUGAGGAUGGGCCCGCGGCCUAUCAGCCUGUUGGUGGGGUGANGGCCUACCAAGGCGACGACGGGUAGCCGGCCUGAGAGGGCGACCGGCCACACUGGGACUGAGACACGGCCCAGACUCCUACGGGAGGCAGCAGUGGGGAAUCUUGCGCAAUGGGCGAAAGCCUGACGCAGCCAUGCCGCGUGAGUGAAGAAGGCCUUAGGGUUGUAAA
RNAcentral lists this ribosomal RNA (400 nucleotides) under uncultured bacterium. RNAcentral's name for it is "bacterial SSU rRNA". It matches the Rfam family "Bacterial small subunit ribosomal RNA", at positions 28 to 429 of the family's 1533-position model. The record is from RNAcentral.